GAUGAACGCUAGCGGCAGGCUUAAUACAUGCAAGUCGAGGGGCAGCAGCUUUAUAGCAAUAUAGAGGCUGGCGACCGGCAAACGGGUGCGGAACACGUACACAACCUUCCUUUAAGAGGGGGAUAGCCCAUAGAAAUGUGGAUUAAUACCCCGUAACAUAUCGGUGUGGCAUCACACUGCUAUUAUAGUUUCGACGCUUGAAGAUGGGUGUGCGGCUGAUUAGGUAGUUGGCGGGGUAAAGGCCCACCAAGCCUUCGAUCAGUAGCUGAUGUGAGAGCAUGAUCAGCCACACGGGCACUGAGACACGGGCCCGACUCCUACGGGAGGCAGCAGUAAGGAAUAUUGGUCAAUGGACGCAAGUCUGAACCAGCCGUGCCGCGUGAAGGAUGAAGGUCCUCUGGAUUGUAAACUUCUUUUAUAGGGGGCGAAAAAAGGGAAUUCUUUCUCACUUGACAGUACCCUAUGAAUAAGCACCGGCUAACUCCGUGCCAGCCGCCGCCGUAA
This 504-nucleotide ribosomal RNA is filed under the name uncultured bacterium. RNAcentral describes it as "partial 16S ribosomal RNA". It matches the Rfam family "Bacterial small subunit ribosomal RNA", at positions 28 to 523 of the family's 1533-position model. The record is from RNAcentral.